UUCAAUACUAUUUAAGUAAUUAAAUAGUGUGCACUUCUCUUUUAGUAAGACGUUGUGAUCCAUUAGGAAUUGAUUGUUCAAACAAUUAUUGAGCUACCAAUAGACUGGUAUUGAAGUUCAUAAUGAUAAAUAAUAUAAUCUAUAUGUUUGUAUAUAUUAUCUUGUGAGCAUACCAUGUACUGAUGUAGCUGCCUUAUGGAUUUUAAAGGUUAUAACAUUAAUAUGAAUAUAUUAUCCGUUUUCACGAAUGGAAUCAUUGUUAUAUACCCGAUCAACAACGGAUUCAUUUGGGAUACCUUUGGGACCCGUCUUGAAACACGGACCAAGGAGUCUAUCUAGUAUGCAAGUAAAUGAGAUAUUAAAACUUAUUUGCGUAAAUAACUUAACUGUUUUUAAAUGGGAUUACGAAUUACAUUUUUUAUAAAAUGUACUCCUCCAUCCCGGGGUAUUUUCAUCAUAUAUAUGGGUAACUAUAUAUAGAAAAUAUACCAUGAGCAUACUGGAUAUGACCCGAAAGAUGGUGAACUAUGCCUGAUCAGGUUGAAGUCAGGGGAAACCCUGAUGGAGGACCGAAGCAAUUCUGACGUGCAAAUCG
This 595-nucleotide ribosomal RNA is filed under the name Apsectrotanypus sp. GRM1.4. Its description in RNAcentral is "partial large subunit ribosomal RNA". It matches the Rfam family "Eukaryotic large subunit ribosomal RNA", at positions 432 to 900 of the family's 3401-position model. RNAcentral also lists the same sequence under 1 other name. Lineage: Eukaryota; Metazoa; Arthropoda; Insecta; Diptera; Chironomidae. The record is from RNAcentral.